GCCGGAGUGGCGAAACUGGCAGACGCGCUAGACUCAAAAUCUGGUGAGAGCGAUCUCGUGUGGGUUCGAGUCCCACCUCCGGUACCA
RNAcentral lists this transfer RNA (87 nucleotides) under Victivallales bacterium. RNAcentral's name for it is "tRNA-Leu". It matches the Rfam family "tRNA". Rfam says of the family: Transfer RNA (tRNA) molecules are approximately 80 nucleotides in length. Their secondary structure includes four short double-helical elements and three loops (D, anti-codon, and T loops). The record is from RNAcentral. Lineage: Bacteria; Pseudomonadati; Lentisphaerota; Lentisphaeria; Victivallales.